GCCGCAUGGCUCAGUGGGAAAAACUCCGGUGGUAUGAGAUGGACCCGCGUCUGAUUAGGUAGUUGGUGGGGUAACGGCCUACCAAGCCAACGAUCAGUAGCCGACCUGAGAGGGUGACCGGCCACAUUGGGACUGAGACACGGCCCAAACUCCUACGGGAGGCAGCAGUGGGGAAUAUUGCACAAUGGGGGAAACCCUGAUGCAGCGACGCCGCGUGAGCGAAGAAGUAUUUCGGUAUGUAAAGCUCUAUCAGCAGGGAAGAAAAUGACGGUACCUGACUAAGAAGCACCGGCUAAAUACGUGCCAGCAGCCGCGGUAAUACGUAUGGUGCAAGCGUUAUCCGGAUUUACUGGGUGUAAAGGGAGCGUAGACGGCUGUGUAAGUCUGAAGUGAAAGCCCGGGGCUCAACCCCGGGACUGCUUUGGAAACUAUGCAGCUAGAGUGUCGGAGAGGUAAGUGGAAUUCCCAGUGUAGCGGUGAAAUGCGUAGAUAUUGGGAGGAACACCAGUGGCGAAGGCGGCUUACUGGACGAUGACUGACGUUGAGGCUCGAAAGCGUGGGGAGCAAACAAGAUUAGAUACCCUGGUAGUCCACGCCGUA
This 600-nucleotide ribosomal RNA is filed under the name uncultured bacterium. Its description in RNAcentral is "bacterial SSU rRNA". It matches the Rfam family "Bacterial small subunit ribosomal RNA", at positions 185 to 804 of the family's 1533-position model. The record is from RNAcentral.